UACGGAGGGGGCAAGCGUUAUCCGGAUUUACUGGGUUUAAAGGGUGCGUAGGUGGGCAGUUAAGUCAGCGGUGAAAUCUCUGGGCUUAACCCAGAAACUGCCAUUGAUACUAUCUGUCUUGAAUAUCCUGGAGGUGAGCGGAAUAUGUCAUGUAGCGGUGAAAUGCUUAGAUAUGACAUAGAACACCAAUUGCGAAGGCAGCUCACUACGGGGUUAUUGACACUGAGGCACGAAAGCGUGGGGAUCAAACAGG
RNAcentral lists this ribosomal RNA (253 nucleotides) under uncultured bacterium. Its description in RNAcentral is "partial 16S ribosomal RNA". It matches the Rfam family "Bacterial small subunit ribosomal RNA", at positions 524 to 776 of the family's 1533-position model. The record is from RNAcentral.